This is a long non-coding RNA of Harpia harpyja (harpy eagle), 986 nucleotides long. RefSeq lists it as uncharacterized. The record is from RefSeq and is a predicted model, not a curated record. Lineage: Eukaryota; Metazoa; Chordata; Aves; Accipitriformes; Accipitridae. The transcript has 3 exons.
GGGCAGAGUGAGAUGGAGCUUGGCUGCGGAGUCUCCCUGAUCUUUCCAUGGAUAUCUGCAGCACCUGGGGUCCACGGCAAAACUCUUUCCUUCAGAGGCCAAGAGCUGAGUCUACAAUUUCAAGCAGGGUCCUGUAUGAGCUGCCAAAGAACUACAUAUGCACCAGACGUACGUACACAUGUAUGCUGAACGCAUGGUGUCUGGGCAGGAGCUGCACAGCUCUGGGGUCAGUUGGAUUUCUCAUGUACUCUUACUGUACUCUGCACAGUUAAAACACCUUCAACCAAGAUCAAGAUAUCAAACACUGCACCAACACUUUCGUUAUUUGAUCCUACCAAGAAAGCUAAUGAAUGGAUACUUGCUGCUCAGUUCAGAAGAAGCGCCUGUGACCUGCUUUUACCCUCCAUGCAAGGACUAUUUUAAUCAAUUAUCCAUCCAAAAGCUCUGAAACUAAAUCUUCAGGGCAUACGUAUUUCUCCUCAGAUGCCUAUCCUGACAUAGCUAAGAUGCAUAGGGAAGGCUUAGAAGUGUCAGCCUGUCUGCUGUUUUCAAGCUCCUACUUUGUGCUGGGAUAACAGUGUGCUCAAAUGGAUUCUGACAGGCUUUCAAACAUCAUCUCUCCAAGCAGGUCUGUUCUGGUUAAAGGUUAAAGGAGACUUUCAAAAGUACUCCUAGCAUGGAGGUGCUUAACUGUUUAAGUGGGAAGUGGCCUGCCAGCUUCUAUGAGUGGGAAGUCCCUCAGGAGGUCAUUGUACCACUGUUAAGAACUCACCAUUUAAACCUUGGUGCUGCCAUGUUUGCUGAAUAUGAAUGGACAGUCUAAAAAUGUCCUUAGAGCUAAUUGUGUGCCUGCUUUGAUACAUCAGGCCAUUACUGCAAAGGUGUCAGGUGGUACAAAUCUACAAAAGGAAAUUAACGCUGGAUGGACUUUAGGAGGAAUGGUUCUUUCCUCAGCGCUGUUGUCUGCACUGAUUUAUCCAACUAGA